GAUGAACGCUGGCGGCGUGCCUAAUACAUGCCAGUCGAGCGAACAGACGAGGAGCUUGCUCCUCUGACGUUAGCGGCGGACGGGUGAGUAACACGUGGAUAACCUACCUAUAAGACUGGGAUAACUUCGGGAAACCGGAGCUAAUACCGGAUAAUAUAUUGAACCGCAUGGUUCAAUAGUGAAAGACGGUUUUGCUGUCACUUAUAGAUGGAUCCGCGCCGCAUUAGCUAGUUGGUAAGGUAACGGCUUACCAAGGCGACGAUGCGUAGCCGACCUGAGAGGGGGAUCGGCCACACUGGAACUGAGACACGGUCCAGACUCCUACGGGAGGCAGCAGUAGGGAAUCUGCCGCAAUGGGCGAAAGCCUGACGGAGCAACGCCGCGUGAGUGGUGAAGGUCUUCGGAUCGUAAAACUCUGUUAUUAGGGAAGAACAAAUGUGUAAGUAACUAUGCACGUCUUGACGGUACCUAAUCAGAAAGCAACGGCUAACUACGUG
Molecule: ribosomal RNA, 497 nt
Filed under: uncultured bacterium
Lineage: Bacteria
Description: partial 16S ribosomal RNA
Rfam family: Bacterial small subunit ribosomal RNA
Source: RNAcentral